This 497-nucleotide ribosomal RNA is filed under the name uncultured bacterium. Its description in RNAcentral is "partial 16S ribosomal RNA". It matches the Rfam family "Bacterial small subunit ribosomal RNA", at positions 28 to 507 of the family's 1533-position model. The record is from RNAcentral.
GAUGAACGCUGGCGGCGUGCCUAAUACAUGCAAGUCGAGCGAACAGACGAGGAGCUUGCUCCUCUGACGUUAGCGGCGGACGGGUGAGUAACACGUGGAUAACCUACCUAUAAGACUGGGAUAACUUCGGGAAACCGGAGCUAAUACCGGAUAAUAUCUUGAACCGCAUGAUUCAAUAGUGAAAGACGGUUUUGUUGUCUCUUAUAGAUGGCUCCGCGCCGAAUUAGCUAGUUGGUAAGUUAACGGGUUACCAAGGCAACGAUGCGUAGCCGACCUGAGAGGGGGAUCGGCCACACUGGAACUGAGACACGGUCCAGACUCCUACGGGAGGCAGCAGUAGGGAAUCUUCCGCAAUGGGCGAAAGCCUGACGGAGCAACGCCGCGUGAGUGAUGAAGGUCUUCGGAUCGUAAAACUCUGUUAUUAGGGAAGAACAAAUGUGGAAGUAACUAUGCACGUCGUGACGGUACCUAAUCAGAAAGCCACGGCUAACUACGUG